ACAGCAGUAGCCGCGGGAAAACGGAGGGGGCUAGCGUUGUUCGGAAUUACUGGGCGUAAAGCGCACGUAGGCGGCUUGGUAAGUUAGAGGUGAAAGCCUGGAGCUCAACUCCAGAAUUGCCUUUAAGACUGCCGAGCUAGCAGGUGAGAGAGGUAAGUGGAAUUCCGAGUGUAGAGGUGAAAUUCGUAGAUAUUCGGAAGAACACCAGUGGCGAAGGCGGCUUACUGGCUCAUACUGGACGCCGAGGUGCGAAAGCGUGGGGAGCAAACAGGAUUAGAUACCCCAGUAGUCCCUGUCUCUUAUAC
This 305-nucleotide ribosomal RNA is filed under the name uncultured bacterium. Its description in RNAcentral is "partial 16S ribosomal RNA". It matches the Rfam family "Bacterial small subunit ribosomal RNA", at positions 508 to 807 of the family's 1533-position model. The record is from RNAcentral.